ACUUCAAUAAGCACUACAGUCUAAAAUUAAAAUUAUACAUAGUAGAUGAGCGUGGCCCCCACGCAAGGAUAAAACUCAUGUGUGAAGUCGUCCAUAUUUAA
RNAcentral lists this small nuclear RNA (101 nucleotides) under Peromyscus maniculatus bairdii (prairie deer mouse). Lineage: Eukaryota; Metazoa; Chordata; Mammalia; Rodentia; Cricetidae. The record is from RNAcentral.